GAUUGAACGCUGGCGGCAUGCUUUACACAUGCAAGUCGAACGGCAGCGCGGGCUUCGGCCUGGCGGCGAGUGGCGAACGGGUGAGUAAUGCAUCGGAACGUGCCCAGUAGUGGGGGAUAGCCCGGCGAAAGCCGGAUUAAUACCGCAUACGACCUGAGGGUGAAAGCGGGGGACCGAAAGGCCUCGCGCUAUUGGAGCGGCCGAUGUCGGAUUAGCUAGUUGGUGGGGUAAAGGCUUACCAAGGCGACGAUCCGUAGCUGGUCUGAGAGGACGACCAGCCACACUGGGACUGAGACACGGCCCAGACUCCUACGGGAGGCAGCAGUGGGGAAUUUUGGACAAUGGGGGCAACCCUGAUCCAGCCAUGCCGCGUGCGGGAAGAAGGCCUUCGGGUUGUAAACCACUUUUGUUCGGGAAGAAAUCCUCUGGGCUAAUACCCCGGGGGGAUGACGGUACCGGAAGAAUAAGCACCGGCUAACUACGUG
Molecule: ribosomal RNA, 485 nt
Filed under: uncultured bacterium
Lineage: Bacteria
Description: partial 16S ribosomal RNA
Rfam family: Bacterial small subunit ribosomal RNA
Source: RNAcentral